UUGAGCUGUAUAAUUUGAGUGUUAUAAAAGCAUGCUAAUCAAUAAUUUUAACUGGUAAAUCUAUUUAAUCUUUUUAUAUUAGCUUAUACCUUCAGAUAUAGUAUAACAUUAUUACAUUUAUACAUAUUAUUACAUAUUAUUAAAUCUCUACAAUACAGUACAUUACACAGCAAUGAGUUGGUCAAAUGUUAUUUCCUGAGUACUUUUUAAUUCUUUAUUUUUUUUUAAAACAUGCAACUCAGCUACAUAUGCUUAUACCUAAAAUGUUUAAUGUGCCAAGUCUAAUAACUGGCAAAAAAUAGUAUGAGGUGUUACUUUGCUUCACAAAUAUGCCUUUUGGGUUAGAAUGAAAUUUUAAUGAAAUAUUGUUAUUCUCCUUCAUUGUAUUAUAAUUAAAUAACAAGAGAACUUGACACUCUUAGUGAGAAUAAUUAUAUGGGCUUUUGUUUCAGUCAGUGUCAUUUUGAAUGUGCAUCUUUCUGCUGGCUUAGAGUAUGAUGUGUGUGUGUGUGUUGUGUGCUCAGACAAAUUCUCACAUUCCCUAUAGUUCCAGGCCUUAAUCCUAUUAGUGGAGCCAUGGCGGGACUGAUGGAGAUGAGUAUUCCACUCCCUCAUAUAUCAUUGGCUGAACAGUGCAUUGGCUACUUCCACAACUACCACCAUGACUUCAUUAGUGAGUGAUCAUUAUUAGCUUAAUGGAUCUAUUUAUGCAUUCAAUACCAUUUCUGUAAACCCGGAUAACACAACUUUGUAUCAGAACUAGUAUCAAGGAGUGUUUUCAGGAUAGAUAUUCCACUGUUGUCACCACAACUCCAAUGUUGUUCCUGAAGCAAAAAAUGGAGAGCACAGAGCAGCCACUGGUUCAGGAAUCAUCUCCAAGCUCAAUUUACUCCCUUUUUCCAGAAAGAAGGGCUGAAAGGGUGGAAAACUGGACAAGAGAGAGCAAGAAGUAGAAGUGCCCAGUCUGUUCCUGUGGGGUGAUCUUUAGCCUCAUGCAUGGGAUCAGACAAACACUUAUUAACUGAGAGGAAUGCAAACAAGCCAGACCUUAAAGGCUAGACACAGUAGAAAGAGAGAAAGAAAGGAGGGGUAUAUACCCCCCAUCACUACCUCAACUACAUACAAACAGCAAAAGGACUCAUUCAGUGAAUAUGCUAGAGCAUUUUACAAAAAUAUCAUUCUAAUAAAGGUGGAAUAUUGUUACUUCACAUUGAACAGUGUGUUGCCCUUACUCAACUGUAUUGUUCACUUUACUCAUUUUGUAUUAGCAGAUCUAAGAGCACAGAUGAAUUGUUGUAAUGACGCACUCCAUACUAGGCCAGAGUGUAAUCAUGUAGGUCCGUGUUCCAGUCCGUGUACGUUCCCAGCCGGCACACGACCAACCAACAUUGAAAUAUGGUUGAAAUAAUGUCAGUUGUCGCUCCAACGCUGAAACAACGAUUGAUGCUAAAUGGUUGCAGAAAGGUAAAAAAAAUACUUAUAAAUCAAGGUUGAAAUUUUCCCA
Molecule: long non-coding RNA, 1504 nt
Organism: Ictalurus punctatus (channel catfish)
Lineage: Eukaryota; Metazoa; Chordata; Actinopteri; Siluriformes; Ictaluridae
Source: Ensembl